Molecule: ribosomal RNA, 262 nt
Filed under: Clostridioides difficile
Lineage: Bacteria; Bacillati; Bacillota; Clostridia; Peptostreptococcales; Peptostreptococcaceae
Description: partial 23S ribosomal RNA
Rfam family: Bacterial large subunit ribosomal RNA
Source: RNAcentral
AAAUUCGAUUCCGUAAGUAGCGGCGAGCGAACGCGGAUUAGCCCAAACCAAUAAAGUUUUCUUUAUUGGGGUUGCGGACAUAUCAUAACGAAGAGGUAUCGUAAUUGAAGAGGUUUGGAAAGACCCACCACAGAAGGUAAUAGUCCUGUAUGUUAAACGAGAAGACUUUAGAUAUGAUCCAGAGUACCACGGGACACGUGAAACCCUGUGGGAAGCAGGAGGGACCACCCUCCAAGGCUAAAUACUACCUAGUGACCGAUAG